AUACGGAGGAUCCGAGCGUUAUCCGGAUUUAUUGGGUUUAAAGGGUGCGCAGGCGGCCAUUUAAGUCAGCGGUUAAAUCGUGGGGCUCAACCCCAUUCUGCCGUUGAUACUGGGUGGCUUGAUUGCGGUCGAGGUUGGCGGAAUUUGUUGUGUAGCGGUGAAAUGCAUAGAUAUGACGAAGAACACCGAUUGCGUAGGCAGCUGACCAGACCGCAAAUGACGCUCAUGCACGAAAGUGCGGGGAUCGAACAGGAUUAGAUACCCUGGUAGUCCGCACAGUAAACGAUGAAUACUUGUUUUCGGCGAUAUAAUGUCGGAGGCAAAGCGAAAGCGAUAAGUAUUCCACCUGGGGAGUACGCCGGCAACGGUGAAACUCAAAUGAAUUGGCGG
This 390-nucleotide ribosomal RNA is filed under the name uncultured bacterium. Its description in RNAcentral is "partial 16S ribosomal RNA". It matches the Rfam family "Bacterial small subunit ribosomal RNA", at positions 523 to 916 of the family's 1533-position model. The record is from RNAcentral.